RNAcentral lists this ribosomal RNA (253 nucleotides) under uncultured bacterium. RNAcentral's name for it is "partial 16S ribosomal RNA". It matches the Rfam family "Bacterial small subunit ribosomal RNA", at positions 524 to 776 of the family's 1533-position model. The record is from RNAcentral.
UACAGGGGGUGCAAGCGUUGCUCGGAAUCACUGGGCGUAAAGCGUACGCAGGCGGACCGUUAAGUCGGGUGUGAAGGCCCGGGGCUCAACCCCGGAACUGCAUUCGAUACUGGCGGUCUUGAAUACGGGAGAGGUGAGUGGAAUUCCUGGUGUAGAGGUGAAAUUCGUAGAUAUCAGGAGGAACACCGGUGGCGAAAGCGGCUCACUGGCCCGAUAUUGACGCUCAUGUACGAAAGCGUGGGGAGCAAACAGG